AUACUGAGUAUUUAUUACGAAAACUGGCACAUAAUUUCAUAUUUUAAAUUAUGUUUCAUUGAAGUAUAUAUUUUUUUAAAAAAACAAUGUAAAAGAUAAUCGAAUACUUAAAAAUUUGUCUCUUUUUUGUUUUAUCGUGCUUAUUAUGUGUGCAGUUAACACUGAAAAACUGUUCAGGGAACGGUUUACAAUUUACUUUUACUAUUGGAGAUACUGGGACAACACACAGCUUAAAUGCCCGGGUAAGAAUCCGAUCCAAGUAUUACUGCGAACUCUAUUUUGCAGGGGUAUAGUUGUUUUCAUGUACAUUCAAAUAUCUGUAAUUAUUUUAAUAAAUAUUUAUGUUCUAUUUCCAAAAAAAUAAUUCAGUCAGCGAAAUUAUUUUGUUAUUACAGAUGCUGCAUCAAAACGUAUUAAUAUUAUGUUGUUAUAAUAUUCACUUACAGGUUUAUUAGUUACAGCAUUGUUGCCCCCCAAGAUAAACACAGGGAAUACAUUUUGGAAUCAUAGAACGAGUAAUGCAGGCAAUUCAGAUUUGCUUUGAAACACAGUAUAACCGAUAUUCAAGAUGUUUGACUUUACACAUGUUCGCUUGGUGACGAGUGUUCUCGCUUUACAAAUCUGUACUCGCUCUCGGGACACAGCUGCUGUGAACCCACAAUAAGAAACAAUUAGCAACCAGAGCAUUAAACUACACAAAACAUUAAUAAUCCAGGCGUCUUAAUGAUACCAAAUAUUGUAAUAGGACAAUAUAAAGAAACUGCUCGUAAGAAAUACGCGAGAAAAGUGAUGUCAGUGAACCUGGUGGCGUGGAAAGUAAUUACGUUUUUUUUUUACAAUGUGUUUUAAGUUCGUGAGAAUAAUGGCAUCUAGCAGCGUGGAGUGAAAAUAGCUUUAAAGCAAUGCGCAGUAAAUUGUCUCGCGCAUUGGUAUCAUUAUUAAUCUUAAUAUAUAUAAAUCCAGUGUCCUGAUGUUUGUUUCCAGUGAACUCUUCACCAAGUCAACCGAUUUAGAUGAAAAUUGGCAUUUAUGUGUAAUUUUUUCCAACUUGAGAGAUAGGAUAGUUUUUUAUUUCGAUUAAUGGUCUUAAUAAAUAGGUAAUUAAUAAUAAAUAAUAAAAUAACCGAUCGCCAUGGGUAACAAAAAAUCAUAGGUCAUAGACAUACAAACAGUAAUUGUGUGACAUUUCUCUAUGUCCAACACACAGUCAUAUAGCGCUAUCCAGUUUGGUUUAACUCGCAGACAAUAAAGCUCCAUGUGUUUAGCCCGGGCAACGCCGGGUACUGAAGCUAGUGUUUUAUGUAGUUUAAUGCUCUGGUUGUUAACUAUUUGUUAUUGUGGCGUGGCGGACUCUGUUCGUCUGCGCCCGGCUCCUCGCCUGCUUCCAGCGAGACGUUUUGGCCGCCAAUGCGCUCUCCGAUCACUCGGUCUCUCAGCCAAUGGAGUGCUAGUCCCCUGAAGCCCGCCACAUUCAAAUUAGCGCGCUUCUUUCUGCGCCUGUGACUUUGCAAGGCUUUGUUUCCGGGCAUUACGUUCCUUGACAAAAAAAAAAUUCUUGUUUGGACAUUCCCUCACAUUAUUUCCCCGCUGACUUGCUAACAUCCCCGCACAGUCAGGCGGUGGACACACCAAGGCGAGCACAAACGCGAGCGCGGUCGCUGCCGCGGGCGCGAACGACUGGCGAUCGAACCCAGUACACACCAAAGCGAACAGAGGCAGUCGCGGGAACAAGCAGCUGAGGAACAGCGACACGGCAACGGAGUACAGGAACUGCGGGUCGCGGCGGAGCGGUCGCGGCGGCUGGACGGAGCGACCCAGGGGAACUGCUCCAAGGACACGCGACACCGCGACGACGGGCCAGACGGCAGCGUGGUAGUCCGCCGGCUCCCAGCGCCGCGUCAGCAGGCGCAGGCGCGAUGGCAGACAGUCGGACAACUUCAUGUCGCUGUUCCGCGACGCGAAAAAAAAACCCCAGGCGCUGAAACAACUGCGUGGACUUAUCAGACGGCGCGGAUGGUCUAGUCCUGCCCCGGCUUGUAUCCUUGACACGUUUGGCCUGUUACAGCCACGCGCAACGCUUCUUAUGCCCUCACAAGACAAAAAAAAAAAAAACAUUUCUCUACCUCGGCGGCAUAACACAUUAUGUCUACUUUUGGGUAAAAUGCACUUUUAACCAUGAACUUGACCACCGUUUGAAGUUCUUUCUAUUAUCAUACAACUCUAUAUAAGAUCUACGAUAUGUCAAAAAUUCGCAUAUUUUGGCCAUAAAAUAGUUGCGUAAAUAAGUGCGGCACGAUUUAAAAUAUAUAUAUUUUUUUGGUGACAUAGUGUCUUAUGCCUCCAAGGGCCAGACAUAUUUUAAAAAAAAUAUGUUACAGUCGUGUGCUGUCAGUCAAUAAUUUCAAACUGCUGACAUACGUAUAAGAAAGGGUAUUUCAUCUUUAAUUGGACAUCACUCGGCGGGGAAGGAAAAAAAAAAGUUUUCGCUUAAAUGUUCCACCACAGUUUUUUUUUUAAAUCCAUAAAAUUAAUGGUUGCUUUUAAGUCGUUCAGGCCAUCGUUAUUUUCCCUAACUCCUGUACGAUCUGACGUGAAGUAAAAAAUUCAUGUACAAUCCCUUAUGUAGUUACUGACAAAAAAUUCACUUAUACGUGCAUCAAUUUUUCUAAUCCGACAGAGUUUUCACGCAACGUUUUAAAAUAAAUAAUACACCAACGUUAGUUUGGCGUCUUUGUGAAAAAAGCAAAGGUAGGCUUCAUGAAAGAAGCCAAUGUAUUCGUUGCAGUGCCUUUCACCACACGAAUAAUUUUUAGUGGAAAAAAAUAUUUCGGAAUACGAUUAAAGUGUUAUCAAAAACUGAUGCCACUUCACUAUGAAAUGUUCUUGGAUUUGUGUAGCACGUGCAGAUAAUAAUUGUAUACCGUAUCAUGGAUAGCCGCCAUUUUAAUUAUUUCCUUAGUUUUUUUUUUACAGGGCACGUCAAUAAUCUUUACGAGUUUAAAUAUGGACUCACAGAAUGUUAUCAUGAAAUGUAUCUAUUCAUACAUACAAACACACAUAUAUAGUCAUUAUACUUUCAAGUCCAUGGCCAACACAUUCAUAUUCAGCCAAUUAGUUAUAUUACCGCAGCAACAAUCGAUUUGUAUAAAAUAAUAAAUAUUACCACCCUUUACAUGAGUAAGGAAAGUAAGAGUGAGGAAAGGGGUAUAUAUCCACUAGUGGCCAUUUUAUGCAAAUGUAAAAUGUAAAAUACUUUCCAACCCCCCCCCCCCCCAGCACAUCGCGUUACGCUAUUGAUUUCGAGCUUGAAAAAAAAUUGAAUAAAAGUUAAAUAUAGCAAUGACUUGUCUUGUGGCUGGGAUAUUUUUCUUAUGUACUUCCAUUAAAAUAUUUUUAAAAUAUUUUUUAUGAUAAGGUUUCUCCCUUCCUUUGUCCUCUUUUCCUUUCUAUUGCUAUUGCUUUCCAAACAGAUAAAGUCGUGUUUUUGUAUUGAUACAUAUUUAUUAAGUGUCAAUAGCUUGAUUUCUAAUUUUCAAGUUUAUUCGGGGGAUUGAAAAGAGACUUAUUUUAGUAAAAUAACUACAUUUUUUACAGAGUAUUAUUUCUUAUUUUAUAACUUUUCUGUUUGUAUUAACCCAUCGUUGAUGAGUAAAAUUCCAAUUAAGUUACAAAUAUUACAUUAUGCGUAAUCUGGAAACACUGCACGUCAACACACUUCCAGAUUGAAGGGUGAGGGGGAGUAACUCACCCCCUCCCAACCAAGGAGUAGAAGCGUGAAGGGUUCAUUGACAUAUAUUCUGUAAUUCAAGAAACUAAUUCACAAAAUCCACAUUCACUAUGCUAUAACAUCACAGCUUAUGCCCAAGGCCAACUUCGUUGGAAGGAUGCUGGGUUCGAUGACCGGAUAAGGCAUGGCGUUCGUUCGCGAGCAAGCGUCACGUGCUGGCUGUGCGAGUGACGGGUUGUUAGAAGAGGUUGGUACCGCCGGUGCCGGUCUGCUUUUCUCGAGAGGACUGUCGAAGCCCGGACAAAACUGCGCAGCGCCUGACGACACGCACGCACAGUGUCGGCGGCCAGGUGAAGACCAACAACCGGAAGGCGUGCCUUUGAUCAGCGAGGAGGAUGCGGGUUGUGGGGAGGGGUGGGGGGGUUGUGAGGCGGCGAAUUCCUUCCGCGCGGGAGGACACGUCUGCACGAGGCCGCCACAGUCACGCACCUCUCGGCGUGCGACCGCCUGGGUUGGUUGCCAUGCGCGACCCCACGUGUCGCACGAGUGCUGGGACAGGGGAGCCUAAGAUGUACAUCAAGUUCCGUCCCUGCCCGAACACGCCCGAAUAUUCACCUUCGGCCAACCUCGGGUUCAUUAUUUAUAUUUCUCUGUUUAUUUUAAUGUAGCUAUACUAACCUAACUAACCGUCCAUAGAGUUUUAAAAUGUUUUAAUGUAGCCAGGGGCGCAACAAGGGGGGGGGGGGCAAGGGUAUUUUGCCCCUCCCCCUCUGAAACCUUGAAGUGGGGGCAAACGUGGGCAAAGAAAGUGCUGUGUAAUCAAUUUUUAGAUAAUAAAACUGCUUAAAUAGCACCAUUUUCCACCUUGAAAUACAAAUUUUCCCGGGGGUCGAUGAUUCUUUAUAAAAAGGUAUAUUGCCUUUGGAAAUUUAGUUGUUGCGCUCCUGAAUGUAGUUAACCUAACCGACCACUUUUAAUAUUUGAAUUCAUUUUUCCUGCGCAAAAAUAAAACAAAUCCCGAGGUUGGCCGAAGGUGAAUAUUCGGGCGUGUUCGGGCAGGGACAGAACUUGAUGUACAUCUUAGGCUUCUCGUGCUUGGGACAGGCGAGCAACCAGCAGGGGGGGGGGGGGGGGGGGGCAUCCCCUCCCCCUCCCUCACAGGGUUCCAAUGGAAGAAAAAAAACCUACUGAAGAUGGAAUAAGAAAAUCACAUCAAGUUAACUACAAAAAAAAAAAGUUUCAGAGAGCUUUGUUUGGAAGGAUUAUUGUAAUCAUCAUUAGUGGGCUGCAAUAAAUGCAUUUUUUCCUCCCACAUCCAAACCAACAAACAUGCCUCAUGCGCACAGAAGUGGCAGGGAUCGUCUGCAAGAAGUCUAUAAUUUUUUUAUUGUCGGUUCGCACACGUGUUUUAGUUGUAAGCAUGUAUUUCAU
Molecule: long non-coding RNA, 5158 nt
Organism: Bacillus rossius redtenbacheri
Lineage: Eukaryota; Metazoa; Arthropoda; Insecta; Phasmatodea; Bacillidae
Exons: 3
Source: RefSeq, a predicted model, not a curated record